AGGACGAACGCUGGCGGCGCGCUUCAAGCAUGCAAGUCGAACGAGAUACCCGGGCUUGCCCGGGUGGAGAGUGGCGAACGGGUGAGUAACACGUGAGGAACCUGCCCCGAAGACCGGGAUAACGCCGGGAAACUGGUGCUAAUACCGGAUGCCCUCGCCGGAUCGCAUGGUCUGGCGAGGAAAUGGAUUCCGCUUCGGGAUGGCCUCGCGGCCUAUCAGCUAGUUGGUGGGUAACGGCCCACAAGGCAGCGACGGGUAGCUGGUCUGAGAGGAUGUCCAGCCACACUGGGACUGAGACACGGCCCAGACUCCUACGGGAGGCAGCAGCUAGGAAUCUUGCGCAAUGGACGAAAGUCUGACGCAGCGACGCCGCGUGCGGGAUGAAGGCCUUAGGGUCGUAAACCGCUUUCAGCAGGGACGAAAUUGACGGUACCUGCAGAAGAAGCCCCGGCAACUACGUGCCAGCAGCCGCGGUAA
This 477-nucleotide ribosomal RNA is filed under the name uncultured bacterium. RNAcentral's name for it is "SSU rRNA". It matches the Rfam family "Bacterial small subunit ribosomal RNA", at positions 26 to 523 of the family's 1533-position model. The record is from RNAcentral.